AUUCCAGCUCCAAUAGCGUAUAUUAAAGUUGUUGUGGUUAAAAAGCUCGUAGUUGGAUCUCGGCGGUCUGGGGGCGGUUCGCUUCAGAGCGCUACUGCCCUAUAGACCGUAGUUUUGCCAGAGGUCUCAGGGUGCUCUUAACCGAGUGUCUUGCGAUGCUGGCAGGUUUACCUUGAGAAAAUUAGAGUGUUUCAGGCAGGCUAGCGCCGGGAUACAUUAGCAUGGAAUAAUGGAAUAGGACUUUUUCCUCUUCUGUUGGUCUGAGGGGUUCGAGUAAUGAUUAAUAGGGAUAGUUGGGGGCAUUAGUACUUUGCUGUCAGAGGUGAAAUUCUCGGAUUUGCAAAAGACUAACUUAUGCGAAAGCAUUUGCCAAGGAUGUUUUCAUCA
RNAcentral lists this ribosomal RNA (387 nucleotides) under Pseudocalanus sp. Its description in RNAcentral is "partial small subunit ribosomal RNA". It matches the Rfam family "Eukaryotic small subunit ribosomal RNA", at positions 582 to 975 of the family's 1831-position model. Lineage: Eukaryota; Metazoa; Arthropoda; Copepoda; Calanoida; Clausocalanidae. The record is from RNAcentral.